GAUGAAGAACGUAGCGAAAUGCGAUAAGUAAUGUGAAUUGCAGAAUUCAGUGAAUCAUCGAGUCUUUGAACGCACAUUGCGCCCCCUGGUAUUCCGGGGGGCAUGCCUGUCCGAGCGUCAUUGCUGCCCUCAAGCACGGCUUGUGUGUUGGGCCCCGCCCCCCGGCUCCCGGGGGGCGGGCCCGAAAGGCAGCGGCGGCACCGCGUCCGGUCCUCGAGCGUAUGGGGCUUCGUCACCCGCUCCGUAGGCCCGGCCGGCGCCCGCCGUCGACCCCCCUCAAUCUUUUCAGGUUGACCUCGGAUCAGGUAGGGAUACCCGCUGAACUUAAGCAUAUCAAUAAGCGGAGGA
This 348-nucleotide unclassified non-coding RNA is filed under the name soil metagenome. RNAcentral describes it as "partial contains 5.8S ribosomal RNA, internal transcribed spacer 2, and large subunit ribosomal RNA". The stretch from base 1 to 120 matches the Rfam family "5.8S ribosomal RNA", at positions 35 to 154 of the family's 154-position model. The record is from RNAcentral.